CCACGUCACAAGGCUGGGCGGGUCAGUUUCUAUGCCGUCAUAUCCCCUGGGGGACCGGGAGCCAAUAGCGUCGCUCGACAACCCGGAAGAAACAGCAGCCCGAAAAGAGCGCCUGGAUUUCAAUUUUAGAACAGAUACGAAGACAUUGACAGUUCUGAUCUGAGGUCAGUGUCCGCCCCAGUAGACCAUGAGUUUCUCCCCCACCCCCGUGGGCCCGCCCGGCAGCCGUAGUGUCCAGGAGCAGAGAGAGAAGUGGGAGAGGAAGAGAACCCGUACAGUCAGGGCCCUGGUCCAAACUGAACAGAAAUACUGUAAACAACUACAACUAGUCAACACGUACUUUGUGGAGAUUCUGAAGGCCAAAGGCACCCUGAGGCAGGACAUUAGAGAGAGCAUCUUCAGUUCCAUUCCAUCCGUCUAUUCAGUAAACCAGACGUUAUUGGUCCGUCUGGAGAACGGGGACUUGGGCCGUGGAUUUGAUGACUUCUGUCCUCACCUCCACCACUACGUUACCUACGUAGACAACAUCCAGAACGCCAGCAAGGUCCUGGCGCUCCAGGUAAAGAAGAACAAAGCCUUUAGAAGGUUUAAGAAGCUCCAGGAGUCCAGACCAGAGUUCCUCAACUGUAAACUAGAGGACCUCCUCCCACUGCCCAUACAGCGCAUCCAACAGUACAAACAUUUCUUACGGGAUCUGUCAGAGAACACGAGUCCAGAUUACCCAGAGUUCCAACCGCUUUCAAGGUCGGUGAAGCUGAUCUCUGAGGUAUCCCAGCGUAUCCAGGACAACGCCCGCAGCCAUGACAACCACCUGCAGCUGCGGCGGGUGCAGAGACUGCUGAAGGGGAGAAAGACCAAGGUGGAAGCUCCAGGACGCUGGUACCUGCGUGAGGGCUGGCUGCGUACCGUCCCCCCUAAAGGAGCAGAGGUCAAACCCAAGAUGUUCUUCCUGUUUAGUGAUGUCCUUCUCCAAGCCAAGCCCUGCCACCCUCUCCAUCCCACCAACGGAGAUAAGUUUGCUGGCCAGAGAGUCUACCCACUGAAGGACUGUACUGUGGACAAGGUGUUUGGGCACACCCAGAGCCAGGGCGGCCUUCUCAGUUUGACCUUCCCUAAAGCCAAGCUGCUGCUGAUGUCCAGCGAUCAGGAAGAUAUCAACGACUGGUAUUACAGCCUGAGCUCUGCUGUAGGUCAGUUAAAGUCCAGGAACACAGUGGUCCAUCAGAGAGAUGAUCUGGUCAGGAGACCGCUACGCUGCUUUGUAGAGGACCAGAAGAACCAAACUACCCCCACCACACCACCCACCACCUCCACCCCAGGGAGGAAGAGGAUGGCCCCCCCCUCCACCCCAGACCCCCUCCAGACCUACCGCUCCAGCAGAAGCAGAGGGCAGCGCCUCCAAGAGGAUGAAGCUGACUGGGGGGCCAGCUGAGAGUGAAUCGGCCAGGUCAAGCUGUGUGAUCCUGUGAAGGACCAAGAACUUCAGAGAUCCUUGCUCUUUCACACAAACCAAUCAAGUCUGACAGAUAAGCGUUAAUGGGGGGGAUAUGAGGAGAGAUUAGAGGUAGUUAGAUACUGGAGAAUCAGGUUAAUGGGGAGAGAUGGGAGGUAGUUAGAUACUGGAGAAUCAGGUUAAUGGGGAGAGAUGGGAGGUAGUUAGAUACUGGAGAAUUAGGUUAAUGGGGAGAGAUGGGAGGUAGUUAGAUAUGAGGAGAGAUGGGAGGUAGUUAGAUACUGGAGAAUCAGGUUAAUGGGGAGAGAUGGGAGGUAGUUAGAUACUGGAGAAUCAGGUUAAUGGGGAGAGAUGGGAGGUAGUUAGAUAUGAGGAGAGAUGGGAGGUAGUUAGAUGCUGGAGAAUCAGGUUAAUGGGGAGAGAUGGGAGGUAGUUAGAUAUGAGGAGAGAUGGGAGGUAGUUAGAUGCUGGAGAAUCAGGUUAACGCUGGGAUAUGAGGAGAGGUGGGAGGUAGUUAGAUACUGGAGAAUCAGGUUAAUGGGGAGAGAUGGGAGGUAGUUAGAUACUGGAGAAUCAGGUUAAUGGGGAGAGAUGGGAGGUAGUUAGAUACUGGAGAAUCAGGUUAAUGGGGAGAGAUGGGAGGUAGUUAGAUACUGGAGAAUUAGGUUAAUGGGGAGAGAUGGGAGGUAGUUAGAUAUGAGGAGAGAUGGGAGGUAGUUAGAUGAUAUGAAAUGUGAAGAUUUUAACACUGAUGCCAAAGACACUUUGAAACACCUUCACGAUAGAAGCUCCAGCAGAUGGAAAAUGUGAGAUUUGACUCUGAAAUAAAUGAAUGUUUUGUCCUGAA
Non-coding RNA from Oncorhynchus mykiss (rainbow trout), 2300 nucleotides. The record is from RefSeq and is a predicted model, not a curated record. Lineage: Eukaryota; Metazoa; Chordata; Actinopteri; Salmoniformes; Salmonidae.